RNAcentral lists this ribosomal RNA (43 nucleotides) under Beauveria bassiana. RNAcentral describes it as "partial 18S ribosomal RNA". The record is from RNAcentral. Lineage: Eukaryota; Fungi; Ascomycota; Sordariomycetes; Hypocreales; Cordycipitaceae.
AGUCGUAACAGGGUCUCCGUUGGUGAACCAGCGGAGGGAUCAU